Molecule: non-coding RNA, 102 nt
Organism: Dendrothele bispora CBS 962.96
Lineage: Eukaryota; Fungi; Basidiomycota; Agaricomycetes; Agaricales
Source: the annotation of a GenBank genome assembly
GGCGCUAUAGCCAAGUGGUGACGGCGACAGAUUAGAAUAGAUACGCUUGUGUAACAGUCUGGUCCUCCUUCGAGGGUGCAGGUUCGAAUCCUGCUGGCGUCG